RNAcentral lists this long non-coding RNA (634 nucleotides) under Olea europaea subsp. europaea. The record is from RNAcentral. Lineage: Eukaryota; Viridiplantae; Streptophyta; Magnoliopsida; Lamiales; Oleaceae.
UGGGAGGUGACGAGAAAUGGUAUCUCCUCUUUGACCUAACAAGGGGUGUUUCUCUUAAAUUUGAUGAGGAAGGAAGACUCCACGCAGAAUAAUUUGAGAGUAAAAUAGGGAGAUGAAGAGGAUACUUUAGUUCGAAUUAAUACAGGUCAAGAAAAUUAGUCUUAGAUAAUUUAAGAAGUUGGGAGAAAGGGAGUGAUAAAGAACCUGUGUCUAGUGAUUUUGUUAUCAUGUUAUAUGUUGUGUAGUUAUAUCUAAACCCCUUAUAUCUUUAUGGUUUUUCGAUAAACUACUGGUGCUGGCCAAAAAUAUGCUCUUGGAUUUAGGAUUUGUAACCUAUAUGAUUCUUUCCCUUUUUAUUUAUACUUAAAAAUUCUGAUUGAGGUGAUAAUGCCAUUUUACUUCUUUUCAAAUUUCCCUGUAUCCUAGUUUUCAAAGAUAUAAAGUGAUAAAGUCUACGAUCACCAGCUCUUUUUUUCUGCGCUAUAAUAUGAUAGGAUUCUGAUUUGUAAACUUUCAGAGAAGUGGAAUGGUAAUAGAUCUAUAUGAACCUAGUUGUAAUAUUGCUGGGAAUGGAAUUGUUAUUUUUGUAUUGUAUAGCAGCCAUGGAAAAACACAAAAUGGAAACACAACAGAU